CAUUAUUUAACUAAGGAUAACGUACCAGUUGCAAAGCAAGAACAAGCAGAACAAUAGAGCAAUCAUGGCAAGUAAACACAUCAGGAGUAGACAUAAGUUCAGCAAAAAACUUGAGAGUUAUAGAGAGAGCUCAAACUUGUUCAGAAAGCACAAAGUGAAGAAGAGAGUAGAAUUUUGUGAAAGAACCCAGUAUUCGAGUGUGUAAAAGCAUGUGGUUUUGUGCAGAAAAGUCUGUGAAAGCAUGUGAAGACCAUUAUCUUUUAGUGCAAAAGAGCAGGCCCUUUUAUAGUGUAGAAGGCGAGCAAGAAAAAGGUAAGACAAUGGUUUUGAAUCAAUCACAAGUUGUUUCCCUAUUGUUAAGGGAUUUGAUUCAAACGGGCAAAA
RNAcentral lists this long non-coding RNA (384 nucleotides) under Nicotiana benthamiana. RNAcentral's name for it is "long non-coding RNA (NBEN_LNC030554)". The record is from RNAcentral. Lineage: Eukaryota; Viridiplantae; Streptophyta; Magnoliopsida; Solanales; Solanaceae.